Molecule: ribosomal RNA, 1383 nt
Filed under: Salegentibacter sp.
Lineage: Bacteria; Pseudomonadati; Bacteroidota; Flavobacteriia; Flavobacteriales; Flavobacteriaceae
Description: bacterial SSU rRNA
Rfam family: Bacterial small subunit ribosomal RNA
Source: RNAcentral
GUCGAGGGGUAACAUAGGAAAGCUUGCUUUUCUGAUGACGACCGGCGCACGGGUGAGUAACGCGUAUACAACCUACCUUUUAGCGGGGAAUAGCCCAGGGAAACUUGGAUUAAUGUCCCAUGGUAUGGAGGUCUCUCCUGAGAUCAUCAUUAAACAUUUAUGGCUAUUAGAUGGGUAUGCGUCCUAUUAGUUAGUUGGUAAGGUAACGGCUUACCAAGGCAGCGAUAGGUAGGGGUCCUGAGAGGGAGAUCCCCCACACUGGUACUGAGACACGGACCAGACUCCUACGGGAGGCAGCAGUGAGGAAUAUUGGACAAUGGGCGAGAGCCUGAUCCAGCCAUGCCGCGUGCAGGAAGACUGCCCUAUGGGUUGUAAACUGCUUUUACAGAGGAAGAACCACUCCCACGUGUGGGAGUUUGACGGUACUCUGCGAAUAAGGAUCGGCUAACUCCGUGCCAGCAGCCGCGGUAAUACGGAGGAUCCGAGCGUUAUCCGGAAUCAUUGGGUUUAAAGGGUCCGUAGGCGGGCAAUUAAGUCAGUGGUGAAAGUCUUCCGCUCAACGGGAGAACUGCCAUUGAUACUGAUUGUCUUGAGUUAUUAUGAAGUGGUUAGAAUGAGUAGUGUAGCGGUGAAAUGCAUAGAUAUUACUCAGAAUACCGAUUGCGAAGGCAGAUCACUAAUAAUACACUGACGCUGAUGGACGAAAGCGUAGGUAGCGAACAGGAUUAGAUACCCUGGUAGUCUACGCCGUAAACGAUGGUUACUAGCUGUUCGGCCCGAUUAAGGGUUGAGUGGUUAAGCGAAAGUGAUAAGUAACCCACCUGGGGAGUACGUUCGCAAGAAUGAAACUCAAAGGAAUUGACGGGGGCCCGCACAAGCGGUGGAGCAUGUGGUUUAAUUCGAUGAUACGCGAGGAACCUUACCAGGGCUUAAAUGUAGUCUGACAGGACUGGAAACAGUUUUUUCUUCGGACAGAUUACAAGGUGCUGCAUGGUUGUCGUCAGCUCGUGCCGUGAGGUGUCAGGUUAAGUCCUAUAACGAGCGCAACCCCUGUGGUUAGUUGCCAGCGAGUAAUGUCGGGAACUCUAGCCAGACUGCCGGUGCAAACCGUGAGGAAGGUGGGGAUGACGUCAAAUCAUCACGGCCCUUACGUCCUGGGCCACACACGUGCUACAAUGGUAGGGACAGAGAGCAGCCACUUCGCGAGAAGGAGCGAAUCUAUAAACCCUAUCACAGUUCGGAUCGCAGUCUGCAACUCGACUGCGUGAAGCUGGAAUCGCUAGUAAUCGCAUAUCAGCCAUGAUGCGGUGAAUACGUUCCCGGGCCUUGUACACACCGCCCGUCAAGCCAUGGAAGCCGGGGGUACCUGAAGUCGGUCACCGC